GAGCAAUAAAUGACAAAAUAGCAAUAUGGGUGGUGUUUGUUUUGAUUUUUAGUACUUUUAAAGGGUAAUCAAAUAGUGCAGUUGGUUGCUUAAUGCUUGGACUGUAUCCACAAAGCUGGGUGAUGCACUUCUGGUUUCCAGAUGGCCUAGCGGUUAAACUCCCGCUCUUACAAUCAAGAGAUUACUGGUUUGAAUCCAACUCAGGGCUUAUUUGUUUGUCUCUUUUUUUUUUUUAAUCCCAAAACUGUUCAAUUUAGGUAAAUAAUUUUUUUUUAAAUAGACAGGGGCAAUAAAUGACAAAAUAGCAAUAUGGGGGGUGUUUGUUUUGAUUUUUAGUACUUUUAAAGGGUAAUCAAAUUUGUGCAGUUGGUUGCUUAAUCCAGAUCCGCUCAUCAAAGCCUUGGUCCUCCUCUACCACAACCAUUGACUCACUCGCUGCUUUUAGAACAGAUAAAGAAGAAGAUUCUGACCUGAACAUGGAGAUCUGAGACUUAAUCUGAUUAUGCUGUUUUUAUUAUUAAAGUUAAUCAUUUUUCUCUGGAAAAUGUCAAUUUAUUCUGAAGUAUGUUUAAAUCAAAGCACAAAUAUUUGGAUUAUUGUGAACAGGGAGGACCAAAGUUCAUUUUGUGUUUCCCGUUUCUAUUCAAGUUAAAUAUUAUAUAAGGUAAUGAUGAAGUAUUUUCCUAGAGCAUGUGUCACAAUAAAAAGAGAAUCUGACAAUGUGAAUUUUAUUUCAUAAUUAACACUGUUGUCUAUCAGUCAUUGACAAGUUUUUGACAAAUUAAAAUAAACUUGUCUAAUGGUUGAAAAUAUAUUCAAACCCCGUCCGUGUGAUGUCCCCUAGAGUUUUCGCAAUUUCAAGGAUUGUUCUGGUGUAUCCUCUCGUGCUCCCCAUAUCCCAAGAUGCAUUGCAGUCGACCCCGAAGGCUUUUCCGCAGUGGUGGACUUAGAUGUGGGACCCAGAGUCAUAGAAAAUGAGACUUUUAAUGAUAAUCCUGAAGAAAAUGGCUCUGCUGGAAAAGAUUUCCCCCUUAUAGGCCAAAAAACAGUGGGACAACCUAACAAAAUUACAAAGAUUGUGAGUAUCCAGCAUCAGGAGAAGGUCAGUGGGAGUCCACUGCUGCUACUGUUGAUUUGACCUCAUGGAUGAGGCAUCAGGACAGAGACCUUCCACCAGUCCUCCUGACUUCUUCUAUCUGGGAGUAAACUCCACAGAUAAGUACAGCAGUGGGUGAAAGAGAGGAAGGAAGGAGUGAGCCACCAAGUGGAAGAAGAAAAAGAAACAGUAGCUGCAUUUCCAUUACACAU
Oryzias melastigma (Indian medaka) is the source of this 1308-nucleotide long non-coding RNA. RefSeq lists it as uncharacterized. The transcript is spliced from 3 exons. Lineage: Eukaryota; Metazoa; Chordata; Actinopteri; Beloniformes; Adrianichthyidae. The record is from RefSeq and is a predicted model, not a curated record.